CAAGCAGUCUGGGUGAUUGCGCGUAACAGAUGCCGAAAGGCAGUGCGUGAGGAAAGUCCGGGCUCCACAGGGCAGGGUGCUGGGUAACACCCAGUGGGGGUGACCCCAAGGAAUAGUGCCACAGAAAUGAAAACCGCCCAGCGGUGCUGGGUAAGGGUGCAACGGUACGGUAAGAGCGCACCGGCGGUCAGGUGACUGGCCGGCCAGGUAAACCCCACCUGGAGCAAGACCGAAUAGGGAGGCAUUGAAGCUGCCCGCUUCGCCUCCGGGUAGGUUGCUAGAGGCCCCGGGUAACCAGGGUCCCAGACAGAUGAUCACCACCUUCGGUAACGAAGGCACAGAACCCGGCUUAUAGGACUGCUUGCUGU
Non-coding RNA from Syntrophaceticus schinkii, 368 nucleotides. It matches the Rfam family "Bacterial RNase P class A". From Rfam's summary of the family: Ribonuclease P (RNase P) is a ubiquitous endoribonuclease, found in archaea, bacteria and eukarya as well as chloroplasts and mitochondria. Its best characterised activity is the generation of mature 5'-ends of tRNAs by cleaving the 5'-leader elements of precursor-tRNAs. Lineage: Bacteria; Bacillati; Bacillota; Clostridia; Thermoanaerobacterales; Thermoanaerobacterales Family III. Incertae Sedis. The record is from Rfam.